RNAcentral lists this ribosomal RNA (772 nucleotides) under uncultured organism. RNAcentral describes it as "bacterial SSU rRNA". It matches the Rfam family "Bacterial small subunit ribosomal RNA", at positions 598 to 1361 of the family's 1533-position model. The record is from RNAcentral.
AAUCCCACGGCUCAACCGUGGAAUUGCAGGGCAUACUGCGUUUCUUGAGGUCGGUAGAGGUCGCCGGGAACUCUAGGUGUAGCGGUGAAAUGCGUAGAUAUCUAGAGGAACGCCGAAGGUGAAGACAGGCGACUGGGCCGAUUCUGACGCUCAGGCACGAAAGCGUGGGGAGCAAACAGGAUUAGAUACCCUGGUAGUCCACGCCGUAAACGUUGUGCACUAGAUCCUGGAGGUACUGACACCGUCGGGGUCGAAGAUAACUUGCUAAGUGCACCGCCUGGGGAGUACGGUCGCAAGGCUAAAACUCAAAGGAAUUGACGGGGGCUCACACAAGCGGUGGAGCAUGUGGCUUAAUUCGAGGCAACGCGAAGAACCUUACCUGGGUUUGACAUGCUUGGAUUAGCCUGUCGAAAGACAGGUGACGCUAAUUCUAGUGGAACUUGCACAGGUGCUGCAUGGCUGUCGUCAGCUCGUGCUGUGAAGUGUCGGGUUAAGUCCCUUAACGAGCGAAACCCCUGCCGCUAGUUGCCAUCAGGUCAAGCUGAGCACUCUAGCGGGACUGCCGGUGUCAAACCGGAGGAAGGUGGGGAUGACGUCAAGUCCUCAUGGCCUUUAUGCCCAGGGAUGCACACGUGCUACAAUGGUAGGUACAACGCGACGCGAUGCCGCGAGNCGGAGCAAAUCGCAAAAAACCUGCCCCAGUUCGGAUCGCAGUCUGCAACUCGACUGCGUGAAGUUGAAUCGCUAGUAAUCGCGUAUCAGCUAUGACGCG